UUACAUAAUUUUUUAAUGUCCCAUCACUAUAAAUUUUAUUUACUUCUUGUACAUCUUUUUUGAUAAUAACAAUUGGUUAAUAUCAGCUUUUAUUAAUCGAUUCCUCGAUAUUUUCAAUUAUCGACUGAUGACGUGAAGCAGGAAUGUAAGGAAUAACCGUUGCAUAUAAUCAGGAUAAUCGAAGGCGGCAAAUACAAUUAAUUAAGCUCGAUUGCGCGCCGUUUCGCUAAGUAACGUUACCUAAUGGGCGAAAUCAUUAGCGGCCCAUGAAACAAAGGUCGACAGGCUCGCUUCCAGCCCUGUUCGAGAUUUGCUAUCCCAUCAUUUAAGACAGAAUGCAUUUAUUUCUAGAAUUAUGUUCAAUUACACUAGAUUUAAAAUUUCAUUGAUAUUUGACUAUAAAUCAUUUAUCUGACUAUCAAACGACAUCAUCAUUAUAUUACUCACUUAAUCAUUCUUGAGAUAGCUCAAAUAAUUAUUUCAGUUCAAUUUAAACAGACUGAAAACUGAUUUUGAUCCGAAAAACUACAUGAAAUCAUAUAACAAACGAUUUAAGUAGAUGAUAAAACAUUUUCUAACUUUUAUUCGUGUUACGCCCCAUCGUUUUGAAAGGUACAUAAAAGUCUUUUACGAUCUUUUUCUUCGGCACGCGCGCUCCAGAAGUCAUUCAACUAUAAUAGGGGCAUCGCUUUCGGGCGACUUUCUUUGGGACAAUCGCGGCUUCGGAUAAUGACAAUACCUAUAAAUCAUGAAUCGAUGUUGACAGUCUUAUGACCUUUCAAGGAUCUUAUUUUCAUGAUUUGGAUUAUGGCGAAAAUAAUCUUUAACUUUUUGAAGACGGGAGUUUUCAACAAAGCCAAGUUUCAUGAAAAUCGAGCGAGCAAUUUACAAAAUUAAAGGGAGCGAAUCAUGCACAAAGAGUUAACUGCCAACGAUUAGAUAAAUCAGCUGUACGAGAAUUUGCUUGGGAAAUUCCGUGGCGUGUAUCCAACCAGAACUCAACCACGAAUUACACGUUCAAAGAGCGAUGGUUGAUUCGAGGAACCUUCCGAAAUUCCGAAACAUCCUGUGAUAUAGAACCUCCGGUUAAUAUCCACCGGGCAUAAUCUCCAUUGAGAAACGUAGAUAUAUUGUGAGAUAGAUGGGAGAUGGCUCAUUUUACUAUCUCCCGAUUUUGUCAUAUCACAUACUUAUAAAUCAAUACGCGUUGUCUAUUUAUCUCACUAUGGAUACACUUCAAUGUCAGUUUUUAAUCUUGAUCGGACACAAUUUCAAUGAGAACACUAAUAGCUGUUGGAGAUUUCAGUAUUUUUAUGUUAUUAUUUGUAUAAGUUUUGUAAGAAACUUAGAUAUUUGGUUAUAGUUACUUAUAAGAAAAAUUGCAUGCUUUGUAAAUUCUGUAUCAAACUUUGAAAGUGAGUUUUUAUAUAAAAUAAUAAAUUUGAAGAUGAUUUUAUAUA
Wasmannia auropunctata (little fire ant) is the source of this 1460-nucleotide long non-coding RNA. RefSeq lists it as uncharacterized. The record is from RefSeq and is a predicted model, not a curated record. The transcript has 4 exons. NCBI's taxonomy places the organism in Eukaryota, Metazoa, Arthropoda, Insecta, Hymenoptera, Formicidae.